Non-coding RNA from Gymnothorax javanicus (giant moray), 74 nucleotides. The record is from the annotation of a GenBank genome assembly. NCBI's taxonomy places the organism in Eukaryota, Metazoa, Chordata, Actinopteri, Anguilliformes, Muraenidae.
GACGCGGUAGCGCAGUGGUUAAGUAGAUUUGACUUGGGAUCAAAAGGUCCUGAGUUCAAGUCCUUGCCCCAGCC